This 716-nucleotide ribosomal RNA is filed under the name uncultured bacterium. RNAcentral describes it as "bacterial SSU rRNA". It matches the Rfam family "Bacterial small subunit ribosomal RNA", at positions 33 to 745 of the family's 1533-position model. The record is from RNAcentral.
ACGCUGGCGGCAGGCCUAACACAUGCAAGUCGAGCGGUAGAGAGAAGCUUGCUUCUCUUGAGAGCGGCGGACGGGUGAGUAAUGCCUAGGAAUCUGCCUGGUAGUGGGGGAUGACGUUCGGAAACGGACGCUAAUACCGCAUACGUCCUACGGGAGAAAGCAGGGGACCUUCGGGCCUUGCGCUAUCAGAUGAGCCUAGGUCGGAUUAGCUAGUUGGUGAGGUAAUGGCUCACCAAGGCGACGAUCCGUAACUGGUCUGAGAGGAUGAUCAGUCACACUGGAACUGAGACACGGUCCAGACUCCUACGGGAGGCAGCAGUGGGGAAUAUUGGACAAUGGGCGAAAGCCUGAUCCAGCCAUGCCGCGUGUGUGAAGAAGGUCUUCGGAUUGUAAAGCACUUUAAGUUGGGAGGAAGGGCAUUAACCUAAUACGUUAGUGUUUUGACGUUACCGACAGAAUAAGCACCGGCUAACUCUGUGCCAGCAGCCGCGGUAAUACAGAGGGUGCAAGCGUUAAUCGGAAUUACUGGGCGUAAAGCGCGCGUAGGUGGUUUGUUAAGUUGGAUGUGAGAUCCCCGGGCUCAACCUGGGAACUGCAUUCAAAACUGACUGACUAGAGUAUGGUAGAGGGUGGUGGAAUUUCCUGUGUAGCGGUGAAAUGCGUAGAUAUAGGAAGGAACACCAGUGGCGAAGGCGACCACCUGGACUAAUACGACA